RNAcentral lists this transfer RNA (85 nucleotides) under Paraprevotella clara. Its description in RNAcentral is "tRNA-Leu". It matches the Rfam family "tRNA". From Rfam's summary of the family: Transfer RNA (tRNA) molecules are approximately 80 nucleotides in length. Their secondary structure includes four short double-helical elements and three loops (D, anti-codon, and T loops). RNAcentral also lists the same sequence under 1 other name. Lineage: Bacteria; Pseudomonadati; Bacteroidota; Bacteroidia; Bacteroidales; Prevotellaceae. The record is from RNAcentral.
GCGCCUGUGGUGAAAUUGGUAGACACGCCAGACUUAGGAUCUGGUGCUUCGCGGCGUGUAGGUUCGAGUCCUAUCAGGCGCACUA